CCGGACCUACGGGGCGCAGCAGUGGGGGAUAUUGCACAAUGGGGGAAACCCUGAUGCAGCGACGCCGCGUGUGGGAGGACGGUCCUCUGGAUUGUAAACCACUGUCCCCAGGGACGAAAAUGACGGUACCUGGGGAGGAAGCUCCGGCUAACUACGUGCCAGCAGCCGCGGUAAUACGUAGGGAGCGAGCGUUGUCCGGAAUUACUGGGUGUAAAGGGAGCGUAGGCGGGGAUGCAAGUUGGGUGUCAAAACUACCGGCUCAACUGGUAGUCGCACUCAAAACUGCAGCUCUUGAGUGAAGGAGG
RNAcentral lists this ribosomal RNA (305 nucleotides) under uncultured bacterium. RNAcentral's name for it is "bacterial SSU rRNA". It matches the Rfam family "Bacterial small subunit ribosomal RNA", at positions 331 to 655 of the family's 1533-position model. The record is from RNAcentral.